RNAcentral lists this ribosomal RNA (493 nucleotides) under uncultured bacterium. Its description in RNAcentral is "bacterial SSU rRNA". It matches the Rfam family "Bacterial small subunit ribosomal RNA", at positions 28 to 509 of the family's 1533-position model. The record is from RNAcentral.
GAUGAACGCUAGCUACAGGCUUAACACAUGCAAGUCGAGGGGCAGCGGGAUUGAAGCUUGCUUCAAUUGCCGGCGACCGGCGCACGGGUGAGUAACGCGUAUCCAACCUUCCGUACACUCAGGGAUAGCCUUUCGAAAGAAAGAUUAAUACCUGAUGGUAUGAUGAGAUCGCAUGGUAUCAUCAUUAAAGAUUUAUCGGUGAUGGAUGGGGAUGCGUCUGAUUAGCUUGUUGGCGGGGUAACGGCCCACCAAGGCGACGAUCAGUAGGGGUUCUGAGAGGAAGGUCCCCCCACAUUGGAACUGAGACACGGUCCAAAACUCCUACGGGAGGCAGCAGUGAGGAAUAUUGGUCAAUGGACGAGAGUCUGAACCAGCCAAGUAGCGUGCAGGAUGACGGCCCUAUGGGUUGUAAACUGCUUUUAUAAGGGAUAAAGUGAGUCUCGUGAGACUUUUUGCAUGUACCUUAUGAAUAAGGACCGGCUAAUUCCGUGCC